Molecule: ribosomal RNA, 465 nt
Filed under: Vreelandella stevensii
Lineage: Bacteria; Pseudomonadati; Pseudomonadota; Gammaproteobacteria; Oceanospirillales; Halomonadaceae
Description: partial 16S ribosomal RNA
Rfam family: Bacterial small subunit ribosomal RNA
Source: RNAcentral
CCUACGGGAGGCAGCAGUGGGGAAUAUUGGACAAUGGGCGAAAGCCUGAUCCAGCCAUGCCGCGUGUGUGAAGAAGGCCUUCGGGUUGUAAAGCACUUUCAGUGGGGAAGAAAGCCUUGGGGCUAAUACCCUCGAGGAAGGACAUCACCCACAGAAGAAGCACCGGCUAACUCCGUGCCAGCAGCCGCGGUAAUACGGAGGGUGCGAGCGUUAAUCGGAAUUACUGGGCGUAAAGCGCGCGUAGGCGGUCUGAUAAGCCGGUUGUGAAAGCCCCGGGCUCAACCUGGGAACGGCAUCCGGAACUGUCAGGCUAGAGUGCAGGAGAGGAAGGUAGAAGUCCCGGUGUAGCGGUGAAAUGCGUAGAGAUCGGGAGGAAUACCAGUGGCGAAGGCGGCCUUCUGGACUGACACUGACGCUGAGGUGCGAAAGCGUGGGUAGCAAACAGGAUUAGAUACCCUAGUAGUC